UACGUAGGAGGCAAGCGUUGUCCGGAAUUACUGGGCGUAAAGCGCGUGUAGGUGGUGGGACAAGUCUGCUGUGAAAGCGCCUGGCUUAACCGGGCGAGGUCGGCGGAAACUGUCCGACUUGAGGACGGUAGAGGGGGGUGGAAUUCCCGGUGUAGUGGUGAAAUGCGUAGAGAUCGGGAGGAACACCUGUGGCGAAGGCGCUCUACUGGACCACAACUGACACUCAGGGACGAAAGCUAGGGGAGCGAAUGGG
This 253-nucleotide ribosomal RNA is filed under the name uncultured bacterium. RNAcentral describes it as "partial 16S ribosomal RNA". It matches the Rfam family "Bacterial small subunit ribosomal RNA", at positions 524 to 776 of the family's 1533-position model. The record is from RNAcentral.